Otolemur garnettii (small-eared galago) is the source of this 161-nucleotide small nuclear RNA. Its record names the gene U1. It matches the Rfam family "U1 spliceosomal RNA". From Rfam's summary of the family: U1 is a small nuclear RNA (snRNA) component of the spliceosome (involved in pre-mRNA splicing). NCBI's taxonomy places the organism in Eukaryota, Metazoa, Chordata, Mammalia, Primates, Galagidae. The record is from Ensembl.
CUACUUACCCGGCAGUAGAUACCAUGAUGGUGAAGGUGGUUUUCCCAGGGUGAGGCUUAUCUAUUGCACUCUAGAUGUGCUGAUCCCUGCAAUUUCCCCAAAUAAGGGAAACUCAACUGCAAAUUUGUGGUAGCGGGGGACUGCAUUCAUGCUCUCCCCUG